RNAcentral lists this ribosomal RNA (754 nucleotides) under uncultured bacterium. RNAcentral describes it as "bacterial SSU rRNA". It matches the Rfam family "Bacterial small subunit ribosomal RNA", at positions 26 to 775 of the family's 1533-position model. The record is from RNAcentral.
CAUUGAACGCUGGCGGCAUGCCUUACACAUGCAAGUCGAACGGCAGCACGGACUUCGGUCUGGUGGCGAGUGGCGAACGGGUGAGUAAUGUAUCGGAACGUACCUUUCAGUGGGGGAUAACGUAGCGAAAGUUACGCUAAUACCGCAUAUUCUGUGAGCAGGAAAGCAGGGGAUCGCAAGACCUUGCGCUGAUUGAGCGGCCGAUAUCAGAUUAGCUAGUUGGUGGGGUAAAGGCCUACCAAGGCUACGAUCUGUAGCGGGUCUGAGAGGAUGAUCCGCCACACUGGGACUGAGACACGGCCCAGACUCCUACGGGAGGCAGCAGUGGGGAAUUUUGGACAAUGGGGGCAACCCUGAUCCAGCCAUGCCGCGUGAGUGAAGAAGGCCUUCGGGUUGUAAAGCUCUUUCGGCCGGGAAGAAAUCGCAUCAGCUAAUACCUGGUGUGGAUGACGGUACCGGAAUAAGAAGCACCGGCUAACUACGUGCCAGCAGCCGCGGUAAUACGUAGGGUGCGAGCGUUAAUCGGAAUUACUGGGCGUAAAGCGUGCGCAGGCGGUUGUGUAAGACAGGCGUGAAAUCCCCGGGCUCAACCUGGGAACUGCGCUUGUGACUGCACAGCUAGAGUACGGCAGAGGGGGGUGGAAUUCCACGUGUAGCAGUGAAAUGCGUAGAGAUGUGGAGGAACACCGAUGGCGAAAGGCAGCCCCCUGGGUCGAUACUGACGCUCAUGCACGAAAGCGUGGGUAGCAAACAG